ACAAAAUGCCUGCGUGUAUAAGCUACGAAAGAAUUUGGAAGCCCUGAAUAUGGUGGUACGAUGAGAUGUAAGGAGCCUAGGAUCCUGAAUGACCAUGUGGAGCAGCAGAGCCUUGCCCUUCACCCUGGGAACAAGUGAUGGGAUGUUUUGUUUUAGAGAGCUCCUAAGAUUUCUAGGAUCGUCAGUUAAAACUGCUAGUGUUACCUUCCCUAACACACAGACUUAGUGCCUAUUAGUUCUAAUGUUACUUUCAUAUUAUAUGGAAGUUAUGUCUUUAUGCAUCUAUCUCUUCCAGUACGUUACUGGGGAAAUUUCACAAAGAGAGACACUUUUCCCCCUAACCUGUAUGUUGGUCAAGAGAGACACAUUUUUCUGAUCAAAGAUUGUGUUUGGUAUACCAAGUGUUCAAUAAAUGUUUUUUGACCUAGAAACAUAUCAGUAGUAAAUACCAAUACUAAUAAUUAACAUGUAUUGGGUGCUUAUAUGAGAAAGGCACCGGCACUUACACUCAUUGCUUUAUAUAAUCCUCAUAAUUCACAAAUGUUACUUAAGUGCUUACCAUAUAUUGGUUUCUGUAGGAUGCAGUGGGUAUACAUUAGUGAACAAGACAGAUAAAAGUUCCUGUCUUCAUAAAGCAUAAAUAAUAGGUGAAAUGAUCAGAUAAAGAAGUGAGAAAAAAAUUAGAAUAUUAGGUGGUGAAAAGUGCAUUGGAGAAACAUGAAGUAGAGUAGGAUGAAGGAGGCUGAUAAGGGUUGGGGCAUGUUGCUAUUCUAAACAUGUGGCAACAGAAGACCUCCUAAAAAAGACAGC
This 810-nucleotide long non-coding RNA is filed under the name Homo sapiens (human). RNAcentral's name for it is "HSALNT0015996". Lineage: Eukaryota; Metazoa; Chordata; Mammalia; Primates; Hominidae. The record is from RNAcentral.